ACUCAUUCUUUUUCUUGCUUAUUCCAUAAAAAUGGAACAGUACAGCACAUGCCAGCAUUCGGGGUUUCGCUGCGGGUAUCAGUAUCCUGGUCAUACCAGAUGAGUCGUGAUCUCGGUCGCAACGUUUGAGUAUGGAUGUCAUGUGCGACCCAUUCUGAAGACUACGUCAAGCAGGGAUUUCGACUGGGGCGGCACAUCACUCAAGUGGUAACGCAGGUGUCCCAAGGUGAUCUUAGUCAGGACGGAAGCCUGGUGCGAAGUAGAAAGGCAAAAGCUUACUCGAUUUUGAUUUCCAUCACAAAUCCAGACCACGAAAGCGCGGCCUAUCGAUUUUUAUUUUGAUCACUGGCGGCAACAUCAGAGG
RNAcentral lists this non-coding RNA (364 nucleotides) under Clonorchis sinensis. Its description in RNAcentral is "Eukaryotic large subunit ribosomal RNA". It matches the Rfam family "Eukaryotic large subunit ribosomal RNA", at positions 2502 to 2803 of the family's 3401-position model. Lineage: Eukaryota; Metazoa; Platyhelminthes; Trematoda; Opisthorchiida; Opisthorchiidae. The record is from Rfam by way of RNAcentral.